This 484-nucleotide ribosomal RNA is filed under the name uncultured bacterium. RNAcentral describes it as "partial 16S ribosomal RNA". It matches the Rfam family "Bacterial small subunit ribosomal RNA", at positions 30 to 507 of the family's 1533-position model. The record is from RNAcentral.
AUUGAACGCUGGCGGCAGGCCUAACACAUGCAAGUCGAGCGGAUGAAGGGAGCUUGCUCCUGGAUUCAGCGGCGGACGGGUGAGUAAUGCCUAGGAAUCUGCCUGGUAGUGGGGGAUAACGUCCGGAAACGGGCGCUAAUACCGCAUACGUCCUGAGGGAGAAAGUGGGGGAUCUUCGGACCUCACGCUAUCAGAUGAGCCUAGGUCGGAUUAGCUAGUUGGUGGGGUAAAGGCCUACCAAGGCGACGAUCCGUAACUGGUCUGAGAGGAUGAUCAGUCACACUGGAACUGAGAGACGGUCCAGACUCCUACGGGAGGCAGCAGUGGGGAAUAUUGGAAAAUGGGCGAAAGCCUGAUCCAGCCAUGCCGCGUGUGUGAAGAAGGUCUUCGGAUUGUAAGGCACUUUAAGUUGGGAGGAAGGGCAGUAAGUUAAUACCUUGCUGUUUUGACGUUACCAACAGAAUAAGCACCGGCUAACUUCGUG